ACUCUGGUAUUGAUUGGUGCUUGCAUCAUGAUUUACAUUUGAGUGAGUGGCGAACUGGUGAGUAACACGUGGGAAACCUGCCCAGAAGCGGGGGAUAACACCUGGAAACAGAUGCUAAUACCGCAUAACAACUUGGACCGCAUGGUCCGAGCUUGAAAGAUGGCUUCGGCUAUCACUUUUGGAUGGUCCCGCGGCGUAUUAGCUAGAUGGUGGGGUAACGGCUCACCAUGGCAAUGAUACGUAGCCGACCUGAGAGGGUAAUCGGCCACAUUGGGACUGAGACACGGCCCAAACUCCUACGGGAGGCAGCAGUAGGGAAUCUUCCACAAUGGACGAAAGUCUGAUGGAGCAACGCCGCGUGAGUGAAGAAGGGUUUCGGCUCGUAAAACUCUGUUGUUAAAGAAGAACAUAUCUGAGAGUAACUGUUCAGGUAUUGACGGUAUUUAACCAGAAAGCCACGGCUAACUACGUGCCAGCAGCCGCGGUAAUACGUAGGUGGCAAGCGUUGUCCGGAUUUAUUGGGCGUAAAGCGAGCGCAGGCGGUUUUUUAAGUCUGAUGUGAAAGCCUUCGGCUCAACCGAAGAAGUGCAUCGGAAACUGGGAAACUUGAGUGCAGAAGAGGACAGUGGAACUCCAUGUGUAGCGGUGAAAUGCGUAGAUAUAUGGAAGAACACCAGUGGCGAAGGCGGCUGUCUGGUCUGUAACUGACGCUGAGGCUCGAAAGUAUGGGUAGCAAACAGGAUUAGAUACCCUGGUAGUCCAUACCGUAAACGAUGAAUGCUAAGUGUUGGAGGGUUUCCGCCCUUCAGUGCUGCAGCUAACGCAUUAAGCAUUCCGCCUGGGGAGUACGGCCGCAAGGCUGAAACUCAAAGGAAUUGACGGGGGCCCGCACAAGCGGUGGAGCAUGUGGUUUAAUUCGAAGCUACGCGAAGAACCUUACCAGGUCUUGACAUACUAUGCAAAUCUAAGAGAUUAGACGUUCCCUUCGGGGACAUGGAUACAGGUGGUGCAUGGUUGUCGUCAGCUCGUGUCGUGAGAUGUUGGGUUAAGUCCCGCAACGAGCGCAACCCUUAUUAUCAGUUGCCAGCAUUAAGUUGGGCACUCUGGUGAGACUGCCGGUGACAAACCGGAGGAAGGUGGGGAUGACGUCAAAUCAUCAUGCCCCUUAUGACCUGGGCUACACACGUGCUACAAUGGAUGGUACAACGAGUUGCGAACUCGCGAGAGUAAGCUAAUCUCUUAAAGCCAUUCUCAGUUCGGAUUGUAGGCUGCAACUCGCCUACAUGAAGUCGGAAUCGCUAGUAAUCGCGGAUCAGCAUGCCGCGGUGAAUACGUUCCCGGGCCUUGUACACACCGCCCGUCACACCAUGAGAGUUUGUAACACCCAAA
This 1389-nucleotide ribosomal RNA is filed under the name Lactiplantibacillus plantarum. Its description in RNAcentral is "bacterial SSU rRNA". It matches the Rfam family "Bacterial small subunit ribosomal RNA", at positions 66 to 1425 of the family's 1533-position model. Lineage: Bacteria; Bacillati; Bacillota; Bacilli; Lactobacillales; Lactobacillaceae. The record is from RNAcentral.